AAAAUGUUUGCAAGAUAAGCUUGGCAUUCCCCUGGACAAGGAAGGAAAUAUAUGAUACUUUUGUCUUUUAUAGAAUAGACAUCUGAGAACAGAUACUGUAAAUGUGUCUCCUCAAACAUUUGU
Bufo bufo (common toad) is the source of this 123-nucleotide small nuclear RNA. Lineage: Eukaryota; Metazoa; Chordata; Amphibia; Anura; Bufonidae. The record is from RefSeq and is a predicted model, not a curated record.